This 69-nucleotide transfer RNA is filed under the name Ictidomys tridecemlineatus (thirteen-lined ground squirrel). RNAcentral describes it as "Spermophilus tridecemlineatus (thirteen-lined ground squirrel) tRNA". It matches the Rfam family "tRNA". Rfam says of the family: Transfer RNA (tRNA) molecules are approximately 80 nucleotides in length. Their secondary structure includes four short double-helical elements and three loops (D, anti-codon, and T loops). The record is from Rfam by way of RNAcentral. RNAcentral also lists the same sequence under 1 other name. Lineage: Eukaryota; Metazoa; Chordata; Mammalia; Rodentia; Sciuridae.
GGGGUUGUAGCUCAGUGGUAGAGUGCUUGCCUUGUAUGCAUGAGGCCAUGGGUUCCAUCCUCAGCACCA